GUUGGGCACAGUGGUGUGUGCCUGUAAUCCCAGCAGCUCGGGAGGCUGAGGCAGGAGGAUUGCGAGUUCAAAGCCAGCCUCAGCAAUUUAGCAAGGCCCUAAGCAACACAGAAAGAGCCUGUCUCAA
RNAcentral lists this small RNA (127 nucleotides) under Marmota monax (woodchuck). Lineage: Eukaryota; Metazoa; Chordata; Mammalia; Rodentia; Sciuridae. The record is from RNAcentral.